AUGUUUUUGCCCAGCAACACUAGCACAUUGAACAAACAUUGCAAGUACUUUGGGCAGGAGAGGAGGGGCUCCCGGUCUAACGUAGCAGCACCCACCCCUUUCUGCUCGUCUGUCCACAGGGCUGCUUAAUGCUUCUGUAACCUGCCUGGCUAAGGAACUGGCCUCCAGGGAAGCCUGAGCAGAGGGUUUGGAUGUCCCGGGGGCAGGGGGUAGGGUGGGAAGGCAGGAUUGCUGCUGUUCUCACCCCCCUACCCCACCCAGGACUUGGCAGGGCAUGAGUGGGUAAACCUACCCUUGGCUCCAGCUCUCCUAGCCUGGGAAUCCCGGGGCACUCUUGGUCCUGAUGCCAGGCCCAGGGGCCAGCGUCCUCCUCCAGACUUGCUUUUCCAAGAGGCCCCACCUCUGCCAGCUGGCUCGUCCGAGACAGGCGUCUCAAGACUCUUUCUCGGCCGUGGGCUCCGGACCUCACCAACAUUCCAAAACAGCAUCACAACUGGUUCUCAGAUCAAACAGCCCUUCAGGGAAGCCUUCCUGACACCCCCACCCGAUCGUCCCGGAAUCUUUAUUACGCACUUUUGUGGUACCCUGUGCCUCCCCUCCAGGCUCUUGCCUCGGUGGUUAAUAAGUACUCGUGUACUCACUUAAUGGGUGUCUGUGACUCCCCCAGACAGCGUCCCCCAAUGGGGGCCAGGGUCCCGCCGCCGAUGGCUGCUGUAGCCCAACGCUGAGCAGCCGCUCCACUACACCAAGCAGGACAAGACGCUCCCAGAGCCCUGUCCGCUGGUGGCCCAGCUCCUCACUCUCAGCCUCAUCUACAACCCGUUAGUCAGGAGACCAAACGGUCUUUGUUUAGUUGAACAUAUACUGUACGUUAACUAACUGGAAAUUGAAUAAAAACAUUAAAACCCUCUUUGUCUGUAAUCAGAUCACAACUUCCCCCCUCCCCAAGGGUGACCUGAUGUGGCAAGGGUGACCUUUGCAGAUCCCAGCUGUGUCAACAGCCCCUGCUGCCCCCUACUUCAGGUUCUUUGUCAUUCUGGCUCUGGGGCAGGACCUGACUCUGCACACCGUCCCAUUUCUUUUAGGUUGGCGUAAAGUUUGAAAGUUCCCGAUGCCCAUCACACCGAUAUUUUAACAGGAUUCAGAGGCCACAGCAUUACUCUUCCCAUUCUACAGAAGAAACCAUCCCCGAAAAGUGGCCUUCUCUAGGUCAUGGCUGGGAGGUCUUGGGGUUCAGUUUCUAGCUCCAGGGGCGGGCGGGAGGAGGAGGAAAGCAGGUAAAGUGAGGGAAGCUUGGCACCCAGGAAGCAGGGGAUCCAGGCCAGGCACCGGGAGCAAAACUCCAGACGUCUCAGAAGGUACUGGAAACCAGAUAGAACCUACAUGCUCUGAAGACUGAACCAGAAUCCUGCACUUUGUCAACCAGGCCGUUUUUAUAUUUCUAGUGUUUUCUGUGUUUAUUUCCCUAAUUUUCUCCCAUAGCAGGAAGUAGGAAAAACUCAGGAAAGUUCCAUUUGGCUCUAGCUGUGCAGAGGGGAGCCAAAGGAAUGGCUUCGCAUCUGUGCGUGUGCCAGAAGGGUGAAAGGGGCAGCAUCCCAGGGCGAGAGAAUCAAAGAGGGGAGGGGGCUGGGGAGACAGGGCAGCGACCCCCACCCUGACCCCAGGCACCUGGGAAAGAUCAGAAGUUCACUAUAUAUUAAAAACAAACAAACAAACAAACAAACAAACAAAAAAACAACCCAGGGCUUUCUGUCAUUAAAAGAAAUUGGUUGCCUUUACCACCUCCCAGGGUUGCUUUGGGAUCCCAUCACUCACAUGACACGUAUUUAUUGAGUUCUAGGUGCCUGGGACGCCAAAACGAAGAUCUCUGCCCUCGUGUGCCUGUGGGUCAUGUCAUGGGGUGUGCUAGAAGGCGUGAGGUGCCCGGGGGGUUUCCGGGGGCUCAGUGCUCCAG
This 1954-nucleotide long non-coding RNA is filed under the name Canis lupus familiaris (dog). Its description in RNAcentral is "lncRNA (ENSCAFG00030014264.1)". Lineage: Eukaryota; Metazoa; Chordata; Mammalia; Carnivora; Canidae. The record is from RNAcentral.